UGGAUACUCCCUCCGUCCGGAAAUACAUGUCAUCAAAAUGAAUAAAAGGGGAUGUAUCUAGAUGUGUAUUAGUUCUAGAUACAUCCAUUUUUAUCCAUUUUGAUGAAAAAGUAUUUUCAGAUGGAGGGAGUACUAG
This is a non-coding RNA of Triticum aestivum (bread wheat), 136 nucleotides long. The record is from Rfam. NCBI's taxonomy places the organism in Eukaryota, Viridiplantae, Streptophyta, Magnoliopsida, Poales, Poaceae.